Molecule: long non-coding RNA, 703 nt
Filed under: Olea europaea subsp. europaea
Lineage: Eukaryota; Viridiplantae; Streptophyta; Magnoliopsida; Lamiales; Oleaceae
Source: RNAcentral
CUUAUAUCAAGUGCAUCAAGAACAACACAAAACAUUUCCCUGUAGCUCCUUCACUUACUCAUUUCUUCUACCUUAAAAAAUGUCGUCCAAGGCAGAUCUUGCAAGAAUAGGAAAGGAAGGCUUCGCCAUACUUGAUGCAUAUUAUGGAAGAAACAAGAGGCCUAAUCCACCAAAACCUUAUUCACAAGAAACUAGGAGGUCCUUUUUUCACCAAUACCAACCACAACAGGCUCUUGUUUAUCAGGUAAAACCAGAUGAGAAUAUUAAUUGCUAUGAGGUGUUGCAGUUUAAUGAAGAUGGAAUGGUCAAGGAUAAUAGGAGGAAAUCUUAAGCUAUGGCUUAGACUCUCUUUUGCACUGUGUUUUAUAUGUAAUAUGAUGUAUAUAGGCACAGAUAAGUAUGCUCCCUUUACAUGACACAAAAGUGGAGCCAGUUGUAUAAAUACUAGUCACCUGGAAGUUUUAAGGGUAUGGAUGAAGUUUGUAACACUUUGUUAUAUGUAUUGAAGUGAUAUUAGAUGUAGUAAUAUUACAUUUUCUAUUAUAAUUAGUCUAAAAUUUAUGGAUUUGAAAAGUUCUCUAAAAGGAGCCUCACAAGAACAUAGGCCACUUCGUUCAGAUUUUUCUUAGCUACCUUUUCCUCCCACCACACAUUCAGAUAUAUAAAGGGAUUUCACUUUGUAUCAAAUGUAUCAUGAACAACG